GACGAACGCUGGCGGCGUGCUUAACACAUGCAAGUCGAACGGAAAGGCCCUGCUUUUGUGGGGUGCUCGAGUGGCGAACGGGUGAGUAACACGUGAGUAACCUGCCCUUGACUUUGGGAUAACUUCAGGAAACUGGGGCUAAUACCGGAUAGGAGCUCCUGCUGCAUGGUGGGGGUUGGAAAGUUUCGGCGGUUGGGGCUGGACUCGCGGCUUAUCAGCUUGUUGGUGGGGUAGUGGCUUACCAAGGCUUUGACGGGUAGCCGGCCUGAGAGGGUGACCGGCCACAUUGGGACUGAGAGACGGCCCAGACUCCUACGGGAGGCAGCAGUGGGGAAUAUUGCACAAUGGGCGGAAGCCUGAUGCAGCAACGCCGCGUGCGGGAUGACGGCCUUCGGGUUGUAAACCGCUUUCGCCUGUGACGAAGCGUGAGUGACGGUAAUGGGUAAAGAAGCACCGGCUAACUACGUG
This 468-nucleotide ribosomal RNA is filed under the name uncultured bacterium. Its description in RNAcentral is "partial 16S ribosomal RNA". It matches the Rfam family "Bacterial small subunit ribosomal RNA", at positions 28 to 507 of the family's 1533-position model. The record is from RNAcentral.